GUUUAUGGCGUGGACAGAAGACAGGACUCAGCGUGAGACAGUUCUCGUUGACCCUUUAUCAAGUAUCAAUGCACGAUUCACUGAGCAACACUGAAGCGUGAAGACGAGACAGGCCGUUCCUUUGUGUGUAGAACGCCGACGUCUCAAUGGAGACAUUUGUUGCAGCAGUAAUGAGAAAUAAUGAGGUGAAGCUUGGCUGAGUGCUGACAGGGCAGAGCAGGUGGGACAAAACAAACUGCGAUGUUAUCUCCACCAGCAUCCCUUCCACCUGAAAGCCACCAGCUCUGCAGCUGGGAAAACAAGCGUCCGUCCCAGUCACGGGGAACAUGCAGCUUCACAGCACAGAAAGAUGGAAGAUGGCAAACAAAACAUCCUCUCAUCUCUCAGCAGGAGAUCACACACGCACUACCGCUGUCACCUUCAACUCUCUGACAGCAGGUCUAAUCAGUCCACAGGAGCCUGGCUGAGGUCACACAGUAUAAGAGCAGUGAUUGCAGAUUAAAUCAGGAGUUAGUGGCCAGUGGCGCAGCGUCCUCUGGGUUGUGAAGACAGCGAGGAGGAAAUCAAGGACGCAACACGAAUCAGAAUCAGAAUUUGAAACAAUUAUAAAAGCCUUUUGUCUGUUCUAAGUUCAAAAGAAAUGAAUACACACAUGUAGGAAACAACUAAUUAGAUUGUAAAAGUUGUACAUCACAUUUUAAAUCUAUUCCACAGAGAGUAAUGAUUUGACCCUUCAGUUUGAAAAAAUUAGUCAGAAAAAUAGCAAUGAGUUAUUUUCUCCAAAUCCUAAUAAUAAUUUUCUAUUAUUAAUUCUCCCAUAA
Molecule: long non-coding RNA, 821 nt
Organism: Solea senegalensis (Senegalese sole)
Lineage: Eukaryota; Metazoa; Chordata; Actinopteri; Pleuronectiformes; Soleidae
Exons: 3
Source: RefSeq, a predicted model, not a curated record